This 260-nucleotide ribosomal RNA is filed under the name uncultured bacterium. RNAcentral's name for it is "partial 16S ribosomal RNA". It matches the Rfam family "Bacterial small subunit ribosomal RNA", at positions 793 to 1055 of the family's 1533-position model. The record is from RNAcentral.
GUCCACGCGGUAAACGAUGAAUACUAGGUGUUGGGGACAAAGUCCUUCGGUGCCGCCGCAAACGCAUUAAGUAUUCCACCUGGGGAGUACGUUCGCAAGAAUGAACUCAAAGGAAUUGACGGGACCCGCACAAGCGGUGGAGCAUGUGGUUUAAUUCGAAGCAACGCGAAGAACCUUACCAAGUCUUGACAUCGAUUCGACGGGAGUGUAAUGACUCCUUUCCUCGGGGACGAAGAAGACAGGUGGUGCAUGGUUGUCGU